This 452-nucleotide ribosomal RNA is filed under the name uncultured bacterium. RNAcentral's name for it is "bacterial SSU rRNA". It matches the Rfam family "Bacterial small subunit ribosomal RNA", at positions 354 to 796 of the family's 1533-position model. The record is from RNAcentral.
GUGGGGAAUAUUGGACAAUGGGGGAAACCCUGACGCAGCAACGCCGCGUGAGUGAUGAAGGCCUUCGGGUUGUAAACCCCUGUCAGGUGGGACGAACCCCGGUACGUCGAACAGGCGUACCGACUGACGGUACCACCAGAGGAAGCUCCGGCUAACUCCGUGCCAGCAGCCGCGGUAAUACGGAGGGAGCAAGCGUUGUUCGGAAUUACUGGGCGUAAAGGGCGCGUAGGCGGCCUCGUAAGUCGCAUGUGAAAUGCCGGGGCUCAACCCCGAGCACUGCAUGCGAUACUGCCUGGCUGGAGAGAGGUAGGGGCGAGCGGAAUUCCCGGUGUAGCGGUGGAAUGCGUAGAUAUCGGGAAGAACACCUGUGGCGAAGGCGGCUCGCUGGACCUUUUCUGACGCUGAAGCGCGAAAGCGUGGGGAGCAAACAGGAUUAGAAACCCUAGUAGUCC